GACAGAGGCCACGAACGUUGUUCGGAAUCACUGGGCAUAAAGCGCACGUAGGCGGCUAGGUCCGUCCGAUGUGAAAGCCCCCGGCUCAACCGGGGAAAUGCAUCGGAUACAGCCUGGCUCGAGGACGGUUGGGGUGAGUGGAACUCCUGGUGGAGCGGUGAAAUGCGUAGAUAUCAGGAGGAACACCGGUGGCGAAAGCGGCUCACUGGACCGUUUCUGACGCUGAGGUGCGAAAGCUAGGGGAGCAAAC
RNAcentral lists this ribosomal RNA (250 nucleotides) under uncultured Planctomycetota bacterium. Its description in RNAcentral is "uncultured planctomycete partial 16S ribosomal RNA". It matches the Rfam family "Bacterial small subunit ribosomal RNA", at positions 524 to 773 of the family's 1533-position model. The record is from RNAcentral. Lineage: Bacteria; Pseudomonadati; Planctomycetota.